This 357-nucleotide ribosomal RNA is filed under the name uncultured Anaerolineaceae bacterium. Its description in RNAcentral is "bacterial SSU rRNA". It matches the Rfam family "Bacterial small subunit ribosomal RNA", at positions 94 to 450 of the family's 1533-position model. The record is from RNAcentral. Lineage: Bacteria; Bacillati; Chloroflexota; Anaerolineae; Anaerolineales; Anaerolineaceae.
AGUGGCGCACGGGUGAGUAACACGUAGCUAACCUGCCUCAAAGAGGGGGAUAACCUUGCGAAAGCAGGGCUAAUACCGCAUAAGCUCCCGAACUGUAGAGGUUUGAGAGAAAAGGUGAGCCGCUUUGAGAUGGGGCUGCGGUCCAUCAGCUAGUUGGUGUGGUAAAGGCGCACCAAGGCGACGACGGAUAGGGGACCUGAGAGGGUGACCCCCCAACUGGGACUGAGACACGGCCCAGACUCCUACGGGAGCAGCAGUGAGGAAUAUUGGUCAAUGGGGCGCAAGCCUGAACCAGCGACGCCGCGUGGGUGACGAAGGGCCUUCGGGGUCGUAAAGGCCCUUUUCUGCGUGACGAGU